Molecule: unclassified non-coding RNA, 2466 nt
Filed under: Hevea brasiliensis (rubber tree)
Lineage: Eukaryota; Viridiplantae; Streptophyta; Magnoliopsida; Malpighiales; Euphorbiaceae
Source: RNAcentral
GCACGAUUAGAAUUGUGAUUUGAAGGCCAAAAAGGGAUCAAGGCAACAGUAGGAUUGGUCAACUACAUGUGAAGUACACUACUAUUUUCAUGUUGCUAUGCCAUUUAACAGAGGCAUCACAAUUGAACCAUUUACGCCACACAGCGUAGAUAGAUUUUUAUGUACAAUUACAAGAUCUUGUGCGUAAAGCAAAAAGGAUAUCUUGAACCGCGAAAAGUAAAUUAAUUUUUGGGCUUCUUUUGUGAGCUCCCCUCUCCUGGUUCAAACUUGCGUUUUAUGCCCAAAAAGUGCUCCACCUUCUUAUCACCAAGCAUAGGGGUCAAACCUCCAGGCAAGUCCUUCUCAACAGUAGCAAAACCACUUCGAGGAUCACUAGUUUGCCCUGGUUUAACAUGUCCGCUAAGAACAAUAUAUGGAGUUCUUGUUUGAGCAUGAGUUUCUCUCAUCCUCUCCACAGACUGUGAUGGAGUAUCUGAAUUUUUCAUCUGUUUUAUCUUCAGCUCCUCCUGGUAUUGCCGCAUACGCUUUUCUUGCUUCAUCUUCCCAGGCCCCUUCCCAUGAAAUUUAUGUGAAAGCAACCGAAAAGCCUCCUUUGGAGUCAGGAUUCGCCCAUACUCAUCAGUCCUUUCUAUGUUUAUUUCCUUUUUCCCGUCCUCGCUACGGAUGCCUACGAGCUUGCUCUUCUUCUUGUCCAUGUUUCGACCACCCCAUUCAAUAUCUUCCUUGAGAGUACCUCGUUCUUGCAAAAGUUUGAGAACCCCUGAUAAACCCUUUCCAACUGGAACUUCACGUAUCGUAUCAUCUGGAGUUACUUCCAUUUCCUCCUCCUUUACAGAUGGCUCCUCUUCCUUGGUUUCCUUCACUUCGGUCCAACCACCAUCCUCACUCUUCAGUUCUUCAUCAGAGGGUUUUGGUAGCACGUCUUCCUCCAUGAAAACAUCAUCGCUACCAGGUUUUUGUUCCUCUUCAUCAAGCUGAAGCCCCCAGACAAACUCUUCCAUCUCUGUGAAGACAACCUUGUUCUCUUGUGCCUCUCCAGAUGCAGAACUUGAAUUAUCCACCAUUGAAUCAUUUGCACGGGAAGCAGCAAGCGAAGCAAUUGACUCUGGAAAGGUUUUGGCAAGGCCCUCUUGCUUUCUCAAUGCAAGUUUUCUGGCUCUUUCUAAGGAUUUUCUAAGCUCCUCAUCAUCAUCAUCAAAUACUGCAUCAUCUUCCUCUCUCUGGUUGUUAUUAGUUUUAUCGGGUCGAAGUGCUUUGGAUGCCUCUUCAGCCUUGGCAUAAGCAGCCUGGUAAGCAUUGCUCCUCGUCUCUGCAUCUGCUCUCUCCUUUUCUUCCUUAAGGACCUGCCUUGUCUUAUCAUUGCGAGAACCAAGAUCACUGACACCCAAUCCAGCAGAUUUGGCCUCCGCUUCAAGGGCAUCUAGAUCCAUCUUCUCUUUCUUCCUCAGUGAUUUUUUCUUCUUGGGCUUCUUAAAUUGAACCAUUUCCUCUUGAGUAUAGUAGUCGGACAAUAAUUUCCCAGAAGAGUUGAGGUCUUCCAUCCGAUUUAUUGAGGAAGGCCCCUGAAUCCUUCUCCGUAGCUCCUCCAGUUUCUUCUCUGCAUCAAGACUGAAACCUCCAGUUGCAUCAAGAAUAACUCCCUCCUCUUCUGCCGGGUCAUCAUACUUUGGUAAUAUUUUCCUUUCAAAACCAGGUUCAUCAUUGAACUUGUCAUCAUAGAUCCCUGUUUUAUUUUUUGCAGCCUUGUAAGCAUCAUCCCUUCGCUUCUGUUCUCCGAUCUCCACAUUUUCAAGCACAUCAACCUCUUGAUUAACAUCAUCACCAGCAAGUAUGCUCUGAUCUUUGAGUGUCAAGACAACAGCCCCACCUUCGACUACUUUGUCAAGCCCAUGGAGUACUUUCAUCCCACCUAGCUCUUUUGCAGCUAGCCGAGCAUUCUCCUCAUCAUCACUUUCUUCUUCAUUCAUCUUGUCCUGCUCUUCAAAAAUCUUCGAAAGCUGUAAGGCUUUCUCCUUCUCAGCAUUCCUUAUCUCCUCAAUCUUUCGGCUCUUGCUAACCCACGCCAACACCUCAGAAGCACCUUCUGAUUUUUUCUUCAACCUCUCUUCCUUCAUCUUCAGAAUGCGUUCCUCCAGCUCCGAAGCGGCAGCAGCAGAUUGUGCUCCACCUGUUUCAACUGCAUUGUUAUGUGACCUCUCCUCAUCUUCAUGAGAAACAACAAUUUCCUGCUUAGCUGCAUAGCGAUAAUCAGAAUCUUCAUCCUUCCGCCUGUCCUUGUCCUUACUCCUAUCAUGACCCUCAUCUCGCUGCCUACGGCUGCUCCUAUCUUUAUCUCUUGACCUCUCCUUAUCAUCCUCAUCCACUUCCUUCCCCUUUUCUUUAGCUCUAUCUCUCCCCUUCUCCUUCUCAGCUCCAUCUCUACUACCUCUUUCCUUUUCCUUUUUCCUAUCUCUUACCUUCUCACUA